Molecule: unclassified non-coding RNA, 1682 nt
Filed under: Hevea brasiliensis (rubber tree)
Lineage: Eukaryota; Viridiplantae; Streptophyta; Magnoliopsida; Malpighiales; Euphorbiaceae
Source: RNAcentral
AAAAGAAGAUCUUGAAUCCACUUGAGAUAUAGAGCCGAUACAGUGGGCGCAUAAUCUGAAGAGAUAGGUAGUAUAAAUAUGUAGGGUAAUUACAAAUAUCUUCUUCUAGUGAUUCUUCUUGAAGCAGUCCUAACAGGCUUUCUACGCCUCUUCUCAAUUUUUUGCCUCUUUGAAGAAUCUUGAAUCUUGAACUCAUCUCCUUCGAAUUUCUUCCUCUUGAGGAGCUUCACAAGUCCUUCAAGUGCAAUAUCAGCAUCUUCAUUCUUCAUUAGCUCUUCGGCAACCUGCGCUGGAGUGAUCUCUACGUUAUUUAUCAAGCUUUCAAUUUCUGCAAAGAGUCCAUGGCAGGAAUUGAUGCCCAAGUAAUUGGAUGCCAACUUCCCAAACCCAUGAGAUGUGCAAUACGACAUGUGAAUGUGCAUGUCCAUGCGUCCUGGACGCAACAAAGCAGGGUCUAGCCUUUCCUUAUGGUUGGUGGUAAAUAUAAUGAUUCUUUCAUCCCCACAACUCGACCAUAAUCCAUCUAUGAAGUUUAGUAGCCCAGACAAUGUCAACUGUACCUCAUGUUGUUUGUUAUUACGUCCAUCAGGAAGGCGCCGAUCAGGUAGAUCCACACUACAAUCAAUAUCUUCAAUCACGAGAAUUGAUUUAUUUCCAGUUGCCAGCAAUAAUUUGCUCAGAUCGGAAUCCCGCAUUAUGUUUGCAAGCUGCAAAUCAUAGACAUCAAACUUUAAGUGGUUAGCCAUGGCUGCAACCAAGCUGGAUUUUCCAGUCCCUGGAGGCCCAUACAGCAAGUACCCACGUUUCCAUGCCCUCCCUACUCUCUUGUAGAAGUCCUUCCUACUCACAAAUCUUUCCAGAUCCUCUAUAACAGCUUUUUUCGCUUCUGGGUCCAUAGCCAGAGUCUCAAAUGUUGCUGGGUGAUCAAGAUUUAUGGACUCCCACUUGAUGCCGCCGUAGGAUGGUGAAUUAUUCAGUGUAUGCAUCUUCAAGACUCUUUGUUCAUCUUUGAUUUUUCUUGAUUUUUCAAGAAUAUAAGGCACGUAAUAGUUCAACACUUUUUCCUUGUGUUUCUUGUGGAAACUAAGCUCGAAACAUCGCUUCUCGGAUCUUGACAGGAAAGGGUUAUGGUUAUUGGGAUCGUUCUUUUCAGGCUCUGUACAGACAAAUCUCCAUUUAAGCUCAAUAUCGUCAAAGAAAUCAACGACUUGCUCUCCUUUCUCGAGCUUAAUUGUCAAAUUUUUCUCUCUCGAGGUUUUGCUUAUUUUCAGCCUUUCAGUGUUUGGACUAACCUUAGUGCACAAGUAUGUUUCAGACGCAUCAUAGACUAGGUUUCGAGCAAUUCCGGUGGACUCAUCGAUGACUAAGGUAAGAAGAGAAGAUCGAGGCUUGAAGAAGAAGCGGAAAGUGGAGAAAAGGUAGCUUCUAAUUGGAUAAGGAAUGAUUUCAUUAACCAUGGAUCGAAAUAGCAUCAUUGAAGUGGCGAUAGAGGCAUAGGCAGAGAACAAGGAUGACGGGGAAGGCAUUUCUUUUGAAGAAAACAUGAUUGCAAGACGGAGUUUGACACCUUCGGCUAGAGGCUCUAGACAGUUUCUCUGUUUUUAAGGGAUACUGAAACUCUAUAUUGACAGAAUCUUGAAUUAAAUACCCAAAUCCUGAGGUGUUGGACUCAAACACAAAAC